Molecule: ribosomal RNA, 255 nt
Filed under: uncultured bacterium
Lineage: Bacteria
Description: partial 16S ribosomal RNA
Rfam family: Bacterial small subunit ribosomal RNA
Source: RNAcentral
UACGUAGGGGGCUAGCGUUGUCCGGAAUCAUUGGGCGUAAAGAGCGUGUAGGCGGUCCGGUAAGUCCGCUGUGAAAGUCGGGGGCUCAACCCUCGAAUGCCGGUGGAUACUGUCGGGCUAGAGUGCGGAAGAGGCGAGUGGAAUUCCUGGUGUAGCGGUGAAAUGACGCAGAUAUCAGGAGGAACACCUAUUGCGAAGGCAGCUCGCUGGGACGUAACUGACGCUGAGACGCGAAAGCGUGGGGGAGCAAACAGG